This 498-nucleotide ribosomal RNA is filed under the name Rutstroemia luteovirescens. RNAcentral's name for it is "eukaryotic LSU rRNA". The stretch from base 160 to 313 matches the Rfam family "5.8S ribosomal RNA". The record is from RNAcentral. Lineage: Eukaryota; Fungi; Ascomycota; Leotiomycetes; Helotiales; Rutstroemiaceae.
CGGGUAGACCUCCCACCCUUGUGUAAUUAUACUUUGUUGCUUUGGCGAAUUGCGUGGCCUCUCGGGGUCUCGCCUCGAGCUUCACAGCCUGAGAGUCGUUCGCCAGAGGAUACCAAAACUCUGAAUAUUAAUGUCGUCUGAGUACUAUAUAAUAGUUAAAACUUUCAACAACGGAUCUCUUGGUUCUGGCAUCGAUGAAGAACGCAGCGAAAUGCGAUAAGUAAUGUGAAUUGCAGAAUUCAGUGAAUCAUCGAAUCUUUGAACGCACAUUGCGCCCCUUGGUAUUCCGGGGGGCAUGCCUGUUCGAGCGUCAUUUCAACCCUCAAGCUCAGCUUGGUAUUGGGCCCUGUCGGUAAAACGACAGGCCUUAAAAUCAGUGGCGGCGCCGUUGGGUCCUGAACGUAGUAAUAUAUUUCGUUACAGGUACUUGAUGUGCUUCUGCCAUUAAACCCCCAAUUUUCUAUGGUUGACCUCGGAUCAGGUAGGGAUACCCGCUGA